AUCUGUUGGCCCUUUCCUGGGUCAGAGUCCAGGCUUGCUGACUGCCUCACAGCUGCUGCCACUGGGAGAAGCAAUUUGUCAACUUUAUACCUUUCUGCUUUAUGGUCCGGUGACUUAAUAGGAUUCGACCUUCCCUCGAUUCCAUUUCAGUUGGGUCAGACACUGCACUUCAAAUUAAAACUUGGGCUCUGAGACAGGUGAUGAGGAGCUGGUGAGGUGUGUGGCACGUGUUCUGAGGGCUGUAGCUUAGGUACCCUCUAAGCUGGCAUGGUCAACCCUGUUUUCAUAAUGACAUGCAGCCUGAGACCCUGGCUGCUCAUAAUGCCAUGACCAUAGUGCCUGGAGGAAGGCACUGCACUCCCUGAGAGUGCAGGAAGUCUAGCCACCUGUCUACCCAUUGAGAGGAUGCUUGGAUUUUCAUGAGACAAUGGAGCAAAACUCAAAAAAGGGAAGAGACAGUGUCACUGCAAAGCGUUCCUAAGAUGACCCGGUUCACUCAGCCAGCAUGCAUUUGGUACCACUGGAUGUCGGUCCUCAUGGCAGACACCAAAGGGGAUGGAAGGAUUUCACCCAUGCUGCCAAGAAACAUGCAGUCUGAAUGACAGGAGAUCAAGGGCAUGUAUGACUAUAAUGUAAAGCAGAAAGUGAAGAAUGAUGAAAUCUUCCUCCCUGAGCUCCUGAGAGAACAGGGGGGCUUAGUGGAAACACCACACACCUGGCUGGAUCUUGUCAGGUGGAGACACUGAGGGCUGUUUCUUUCCAGUUCUGGAAGACUUGGAGUUCCUACUCGGCAGCUUUGCUCGGCCUGCUUCAGAGCGAUGCACUGUGCACCACCCCACCUUCAGCACCUAAAACAUUGCCUGCAACGUGGUGGACGCUGAGGAAAUACUGUUGGCUGGGUGUGAUCCUGAGCACUUGGCUCUCAGAUGAUACCUGCAGCCUGAAAAGAGUCUCAGCUAUGAAGACUCUCCAGCUGUGGAUACUGGGAAGCUUGAAGGGCUGAUCUCACAGGGGAGGACGCAGCGUUUCUUGCCUCCAGAAGAUGCAGCAACAAGGUUUCUUCUCGGAAGCAUACAGCAGCACUCACCAGACAACUGAACCUGCUGGUGCCUUGGUUUGGAGCUUCUCAGCCUCCAGAACUGUGAGUAACAAAUAUCUGUUUCUUAUAAAUUACCUAGUCUGUGGUAUCCUGGGUAUUCUGUUGUAGCAGCACAAAACAGUCUCACAUACAACCAGAAGAAACAAAGCAAAAUCUGAAGGCAGAGGUACAUGGAGCAGAGUGCAGAGGAAACCAGACGCGAGGUUUCAAACGUGCUCUCUCCAUGGAACCACAAAGGAUAUGCCUAGUUCCCCCACAGUGACUUGUGACAACAUGUAUGAAGUAUCUAAUGAUCUCAUCAGAGAUCUCAGUGUCUAGGAUUUUUACUGGAAACCAUUCAUAUUGGCGGCCUCUAUCCAGCAUACACCAAAAUUGCAGACUCUCAGAAAGAAAGCAUGUAUUCAGCAUAAACCAUAUUGCUUGUGCAGUUCAGUUAGUGCACUACUCUUAUCAGAUAGGGUGGCAAAGAUCCU
Non-coding RNA from Callithrix jacchus (white-tufted-ear marmoset), 1572 nucleotides. The record is from RefSeq and is a predicted model, not a curated record. NCBI's taxonomy places the organism in Eukaryota, Metazoa, Chordata, Mammalia, Primates, Cebidae.